AAGCUUGGACGCCGUCGGGACGGCACAAAAACCAAAAAACUGUGGUUCGGAUGUGCCUUUUUCUUUGGGUUGGCCUCCGUUCCUUUCAAUGAUGCGCCCAGCGGGAGCCCUCUGCUGCCUCGAUUUCAGAGGAGAUUCAAGUGCACCGGGACAAUCCGUGGGUUACAAAAGGCGCAUCGCCCCUUCUUCUUCUUCUCGAGGAUCGCCCUUUAACUAGAGGCGUUUGAGAGGAAGGAACCAUUUCUUUUGUGCUUUCGAGAUGGCAUGGGAUAUGCCGGGCGCAAGAGGAAAAAAACAAACAUUGUGUUUUGUCGUACUGAUUGAAAAACCAAAACUUGACACGA
This 344-nucleotide unclassified non-coding RNA is filed under the name Ixodes pacificus (western blacklegged tick). Its description in RNAcentral is "partial miscellaneous RNA". The record is from RNAcentral. Lineage: Eukaryota; Metazoa; Arthropoda; Arachnida; Ixodida; Ixodidae.